CAAGGCUGAGGUGUGAUGACGAGGCACUACGGUGCUGAAGUAACAAAUGCCCUGCUUCCAGGAAAAGCCUCUAAGCAUCAGGUAACAUCAAAUCGUACCCCAAACCGACACAGGUGGUCAGGUAGAGAAUACCAAGGCGCUUGAGAGAACUCGGGUGAAGGAACUAGGCAAAAUGGUGCCGUAACUUCGGGAGAAGGCACGCUGGUGUGUAGGUGAAGCCCCUGCGGGUGGAGCUGAGACCAGUCGAAGAUACCAGCUGGCUGCAACUGUUUAUUAAAAACACAGCACUGUGCAAACACGAAAGUGGACGUAUACGGUGUGACGCCUGCCCGGUGCCGGAAGGUUAAUUGAUGGGGUUAUCCGUAAGGAGAAGCUCUUGAUCGAAGCCCCGGUAAACGGCGGCCGUAACUAUAACGGUCCUAAGGUAGCGAAAUUCCUUGUCGGGUAAGUUCCGACCUGCACGAAUGGCGUAAUGAUGGCCAGGCUGUCUCCACCCGAGACUCAGUGAAAUUGAACUCGCUGUGAAGAUGCAGUGUACCCGCGGCAAGACGGAAAGACCCCGUGAACCUUUACUAUAGCUUGACACUGAACAUUGAGCCUUGAUGUGUAGGAUAGGUGGGAGGCUUUGAAGCGUGGACGCCAGUCUGCGUGGAGCCAACCUUGAAAUACCACCCUUUAAUGUUUGAUGUUCUAACGUUGGCCCCUGACCGGGGUUGCGGACAGUGUCUGGUGGGUAGUUUGACUGGGGCGGUCUCCUCCCAAAGCGUAACGGAGGAGCACGAAGGUUAGCUAAUCCUGGUCGGACAUCAGGAGGUUAGUGCAAUGGCAUAAGCUAGCUUGACUGCGAGCGUGACGGCGCGAGCAGGUGCGAAAGCAGGUCAUAGUGAUCCGGUGGUUCUGAAUGGAAGGGCCAUCGCUCAACGGAUAAAAGGUACUCCGGGGAUAACAGGCUGAUACCGCCCAAGAGUUCAUAUCGACGGCGGUGUUUGGCACCUCGAUGUCGGCUCAUCACAUCCUGGGGCUGAAGUAGGUCCCAAGGGUAUGGCUGUUCGCCAUUUAAAGUGGUACGCGAGCUGGGUUUAGAACGUCGUGAGACAGUUCGGUCCCUAUCUGCCGUGGGCGCUGGAGAAUUGAGGGGGGCUGCUCCUAGUACGAGAGGACCGGAGUGGACGCAUCACUGGUGUUCGGGUUGUCAUGCCAAUGGCACUGCCCGGUAGCUAAAUGCGGAAGAGAUAAGUGCUGAAAGCAUCUAAGCACGAAACUUGCCCCGAGAUGAGUUCUCCCUGAGACUUUAAGUCUCCUGAAGGAACGUUAAAGACGAUGACGUUGAUAGGCCGGGUGUGUAAGCGCAGCGAUGCGUUGAGCUAACCGGUACUAAUGAACCGUGAGGCUUAACCUUACAACGCCGAAG
This 1411-nucleotide ribosomal RNA is filed under the name Klebsiella pneumoniae. Its description in RNAcentral is "partial 23S ribosomal RNA". It matches the Rfam family "Bacterial large subunit ribosomal RNA", at positions 1551 to 2925 of the family's 2925-position model. Lineage: Bacteria; Pseudomonadati; Pseudomonadota; Gammaproteobacteria; Enterobacterales; Enterobacteriaceae. The record is from RNAcentral.